CGCGCGCGCACACAUGCAUGAGUAUGCCCCUUAACUUUUUAAAAACUGUAACUUCUAUGAAAUUUUCUCAGUACAAAAAUAGUACAUCUUUUUUAUAGCAGUGAAAAAAUACCAAUGAGCAAGAAAAAAAAAAAAAAAAAGAAUCGCUCCCACUCCCAUCUUCCAAAGAUAACUACUUUUACAACCCAGUUUCGGUCUACGUCCUUCAGUUACUUUCCCAUGCCCGCAUAUUCUCUCUGUAACAAAAACAGGAUUGUAUCGUACAUGCUGUUUUACAAUUGGCUUCUUUUAUUUAACAUAUAACUAUCUUUCCAUGUCAUUAAAGAUUUUUCUAUACCUUUCAACAUCCUCUGUGAUUUUCAACAUCCUCUUGUGUUUGGAGCACACUUUAAAAUCCUGUAAUUUUUAGCAGCAUAUUUGAAGAAAUUAAAAGAGACUAGCUAUUAAGUAUAACAAUGUCUUUUUGCUGUCAAAACAUCCGCCAUAAUCCCACUGUUUGCUUGGUCCGUUAGAGCCCUGUUGUUACUUGAGUAGAGCUAGUGACUGUCCCCACUCUGCAUUCUUAACAUCCUCAAAAAGCAAAGUUGAACACAUUCCCAUAAAUGUUCUGGGCUUUAUUCUGAGUUUUUAAUCUCUUUCUUACAGCAAGAUGCCUUCUCCACUGUGGCAUGUGAUCCACUCAGCUCAGUGUUCUCUUCCGACAACCAGUGCUAAUUUAGGUGUCAGAUUACACUGUUGAUGGAGAAUAUUUGUGGAAAAUAUCUGCUCUGCCAAGAUGUUUUUAUCCCGCCUGCCGCCAGAAUUCAUAUGUUGCAAUCUGAACCCCCAAAGGUGAGGAAAUUAGGAGAUGAGGCCUUUGGGAGGUGAUGAGGUCAUAAGAUGGAGCCCUCAUGAAAGUGACCCCACAGAGCCCCUUCCAGCAUGUGAGGACACAGUGAGAAGGCUUCAGCUAUGAACCAGGAGAGGACCUUCACCAGAACGUGACCAUGUUGGCUUCUUGAUCUUGCACUUCCCAGCCUCCAGAACUGUGAGCACUUCUAGGAGAUGAAUCGACUUAAUCAGACUUAGCUGAUACCAGGGUCCUUAGCACGACUUAAUGGCUCAUUGUGGAUUCCGGAAGAAGACCGAGUGCCUACAAAUGAAGUAAGUAAGCCUACCCGUAGACUGGUGGUGAACUUGGUCCUCCUGGCCGUGUCAAAGCCAAGGAUGAGGGGUCUCUGCCUAGGGAAUAUUUCUUUGAAGGACCAGAAUAUCUGUAAUAGGUAGUGGUUCUUAUCCAUUCAGGGGGCAUGGAUCCCUUUAAGAACGUGAGAAGACUGUAGAGUCAUUCUUUAGAAAAGUGCACACGUAAGCACAAACACACACACCCCGUUUGGCAUAUAAUUUUUAGGGGAGUCCCAGUAAACCUGAAUCCAAGUUACCCCAAGAACCCUAAGUCUAUAGGUUAUAAAUGGGCACCAGACCUCACUAGCAUCUAAGCCUGACUGAUCAUUUUUUGGCUUUGUAGGGUAUUUGGAGGGCUUGUGUCCAACAGAAUGGAACCAAGUGUUUCUGUGGGGUUGCACGAGAAUGUAAACUCUGGUAUGAAGGACUCACCAAGGUAUUGGAAUUAAGUUGAAGCCAUUUAUCUAAACUGUGAACUUUAUACAGCUGACCACAGAUCUUCUGCCCUAUGGGAGGGCAGGCUGGUGGACCUCUUGGACCCACCUCUUGGAAAGGUUAUACAUUAAAAUAACUAAAGACACACAUUCAAGAAAUAGAAACACAAGAGGGAACUUGGAAUCAUUUAUUGCUGCCUAUUCUUUGCAGAGG
Kogia breviceps (pygmy sperm whale) is the source of this 1812-nucleotide non-coding RNA. The record is from RefSeq and is a predicted model, not a curated record. NCBI's taxonomy places the organism in Eukaryota, Metazoa, Chordata, Mammalia, Artiodactyla, Physeteridae.